RNAcentral lists this ribosomal RNA (422 nucleotides) under uncultured bacterium. Its description in RNAcentral is "bacterial SSU rRNA". It matches the Rfam family "Bacterial small subunit ribosomal RNA", at positions 208 to 622 of the family's 1533-position model. The record is from RNAcentral.
AAGACCUUGCACUUUGGAGCGGCCGAUGUCUGAUUAGCUAGUUGGUGGGGUAAUGGCCUACCAAAGCGUCGAUCAGUAGCUGGUCUGAGAGGACGGCCAGCCACACUGGGACUGAGACACGGCCCAGACUCCUACGGGAGGCAGCAGUGGGGAAUUUUGGACAAUGGGCGCAAGCCUGAUCCAGCCAUGCCGCGUGAGUGAAGAAGGCCUUCGGGUUGUAAAGCUCUUUCAGCCGGGAAGAAAAGGUUGCGAUUAAUAAUCGCAAUUUAUGACGGUACCGGAAGAAGAAGCACCGGCUAACUACGUGCCAGCAGCCGCGGUAAUACGUAGGGUGCGAGCGUUAAUCGGAAUUACUGGGCGUAAAGGGUGCGCAGGCGGUUUUGUAAGUCAGAUGUGAGMUCCCCGGGCUUAACCUGGGAACU